Molecule: ribosomal RNA, 1345 nt
Filed under: uncultured bacterium
Lineage: Bacteria
Description: bacterial SSU rRNA
Rfam family: Bacterial small subunit ribosomal RNA
Source: RNAcentral
GAUGAACGCUAGCGGGAGGCCUAACACAUGCAAGCCGAGCGGUAGAGAUCUUUCGGGAUCUUGAGAGCGGCGUACGGGUGCGGAACACGUGUGCAACCUGCCUUUAUCAGGGGGAUAGCCUUUCGAAAGGAAGAUUAAUACCCCAUAAUAUAUUGAAUGGCAUCAUUUGAUAUUGAAAACUCCGGUGGAUAGAGAUGGGCACGCGCAAGAUUAGAUAGUUGGUAGGGUAACGGCCUACCAAGUCAGUGAUCUUUAGGGGGCCUGAGAGGGUGAUCCCCCACACUGGUACUGAGACACGGACCAGACUCCUACGGGAGGCAGCAGUGAGGAAUAUUGGACAAUGGGUGAGAGCCUGAUCCAGCCAUCCCGCGUGAAGGACGACGGCCCUAUGGGUUGUAAACUUCUUUUGUAUAGGGAUAAACCUUUCCACGUGUGGAAAGCUGAAGGUACUAUACGAAUAAGCACCGGCUAACUCCGUGCCAGCAGCCGCGGUAAUACGGAGGGUGCAAGCGUUAUCCGGAUUUAUUGGGUCUAAAGGGUCCGUAGGCGGAUCUGUAAGUCAGUGGUGAAAUCUCAUAGCUUAACUAUGAAACUGCCAUUGAUACUGCAGGUCUUGAGUAAAGUAGAAGUGGCUGGAAUAAGUAGUGUAGCGGUGAAAUGCAUAGAUAUUACUUAGAACACCAAUUGCGAAGGCAGGUCACUAUGUUUUAACUGACGCUGAUGGACGAAAGCGUGGGGAGCGAACAGGAUUAGAUACCCUGGUAGUCCACGCCGUAAACGAUGCUAACUCGUUUUUGGGUUUUCGGAUUCAGAGACUAAGCGAAAGUGAUAAGUUAGCCACCUGGGGAGUACGUUCGCAAGAAUGAAACUCAAAGGAAUUGACGGGGGCCCGCACAAGCGGUGGAUUAUGUGGUUUAAUUCGAUGAUACGCGAGGAACCUUACCAAGGCUUAAAUGGGAAUUGACAGGUUUAGAAAUAGACUUUUCUUCGGACAAUUUUCAAGGUGCUGCAUGGUUGUCGUCAGCUCGUGCCGUGAGGUGUUAGGUUAAGUCCUGCAACGAGCGCAACCCCUGUCACUAGUUGCCAUCAUUCAGUUGGGGACUCUAGUGAGACUGCCUACGCAAGUAGAGAGGAAGGUGGGGAUGACGUCAAAUCAUCACGGCCCUUACGCCUUGGGCCACACACGUAAUACAAUGGCCGGUACAGAGGGCAGCUACCUAGCGAUAGGAUGCGAAUCUCGAAAGCCGGUCUCAGUUCGGAUUGGAGUCUGCAACUCGACUCUAUGAAGCUGGAAUCGCUAGUAAUCGCAUAUCAGCCAUGAUGCGGUGAAUACGUUCCCGGGCCU